Molecule: ribosomal RNA, 423 nt
Filed under: uncultured bacterium
Lineage: Bacteria
Description: bacterial SSU rRNA
Rfam family: Bacterial small subunit ribosomal RNA
Source: RNAcentral
GAUCCUGGCUCAGAGCGAACGUUAGCGGCGCGCCUAACACAUGCAAGUCGCACGAGAAAGGGGGCAACCCCCGGUACAGUGGCGCACGGGUGAGUAACACGUAGAUGACCUUCCCUGGAGUGGUGGAUAACCUGCCGAAAGGCGGGCUAAUACAGCAUGGGACCACACGGUUUUGGCCGAGUGGUGAAAGCGGGCCUCUGUUCACAAGCUCGCGCUCUGGGAUGGAUCUGCGGCCCAUCAGCUAGUUGGUGAGGUAACGGCUCACCAAGGCUACGACGGGUAGCUGGUCUGAGAGGAUGAUCAGCCACACUGGAACUGAGACACGGUCCAGACUCCUACGGGAGGCAGCAGUGGGGAAUCUUGCGCAAUGGGCGAAAGCCUGACGCAGCGACGCCGCGUGGGUGACGAAGGCCUCGGUGUAAG